This 1701-nucleotide ribosomal RNA is filed under the name Triticum aestivum (bread wheat). RNAcentral describes it as "partial small subunit ribosomal RNA". Lineage: Eukaryota; Viridiplantae; Streptophyta; Magnoliopsida; Poales; Poaceae. The record is from RNAcentral.
AUGCGUAUCUCUCGAGACGUGACUUUUGAUGAGUCUCGUCCUUUCUACCCACGUCCAUCUUCCUCGAUUUUUUCAGUGGAGGAUAUCUCUUUUCUCACUUUUCCUGACUCACCUAUCACCCCCGUCGCGCCUGUGCCUAUUCGUUCCACUCCCUCUGCUUCUCCACCUCUAGUCAAUUUGCAGCCACCAUCUUCUCCGGUCUCCUCGCCUAGCAUGUCACCGGAUUCUACACCUUCAUCUCCGGUGACUUCUUCGUCGCCACCCCCCGAUUCUACCUUGGCGAUUCCUCCUUCUAUUGUUCCAUCUUUUCCUCAGCAUUACACUCGUCGUUCACGACCUGUGGAUGCCUCAUUGGAUGAGUUGUCCUCUUCCUCUCAGCCUACUUAUGGCUUGCGUUCUCGUCCUCGUCCGCCUGUUGAUCGCUUUGGAUUUCCCACCGCUGGUGCUGCUGUUCUUGAGCCGACUUCUUAUCGUCAGGCUGUUGUUCAUCCUGAAUGGCAGUUUGCGAUGGCAGAGGAGAUUGCUGCUCUUGAACGCACUGGUACCUGGGAUCUUGUUUCUCUUCCUCCCGGAGUCCGUCCCAUCACUUGUAAGUGGGUCUACAAGGUUAAGACUCGCUCCGAUGGUUCUCUUGAGCGUCACAAAGCUCGUCUUGUGGCUCGUGGUUUUCAGCAGGAGCAUGGUCGUGAUUAUGACGAGACUUUUGCUCCUGUGGCCCAUAUGACCACUGUUCGUACACUUCUUGCCGUUGCCUCUGCACGCCACUGGUCUAUAUCUCAGCUUGAUGUUAAGAAUGCCUUUCUUAAUGGUGAGCUGCGUGAGGAGGUGUACAUGCAGCCACCACCUGGGUAUUCUGUUCCUGAUGGCAUGGUAUGUCGUCUUCGUCGCUCUCUUUAUGGCCUUAAGCAAGCCCCUCGCGCCUGGUUUGAGCGUUUUGCCUCUGUGGUCACUACUGCUGGUUUUUCAGCCAGUGCUCAUGAUCCAGCAUUGUUUAUUCACCUUUCUCCUCGUGGUCGGACUCUUCUUCUUCUCUAUGUUGAUGACAUGAUCAUCACUGGGGAUGACCCUGAGUAUAUUGCCUUUGUAAAGUCCUGUCUUAGUCAGCAGUUUCUUAUGUCUGAUCUUGGACCUCUUCGCUACUUUCUUGGGAUUGAAGUCUCUUCUACCUCUGAUGGCUUUUUUAUAUCCCAGGAAAAGUAUAUCCAGGAUCUUCUUGCUCGUGCUGCUCUUACUGACGAGCGCAUUGUUGAGACUCCUAUGGAGCUCAAUGUUCACCUCCGUGCUACUGAUGGUGAUCCUCUCCCUGACCCGACGCGUUAUCGUCAUCUCGUUGGCAGUCUUGUCUAUCUAGCUGUCACUCGUCCGGACAUCUCUUAUCCGGUUCAUAUUCUGAGUCAGUUUGUCUCUGCUCCCACAUCGGUUCACUAUAGUCAUCUCCUUCGUGUUCUCCGAUAUCUUCGGGGCACGAUCUCUCACCGUCUAUUCUUUCCUAGCUCCAGUUCUUUACAGCUUCAGGCCUAUUCGGAUGCUACGUGGGCUAGUGAUCCUUCUGAUCGCCGUUCACUUUCUGCUUACUGUGUUUUUCUUGGCGGUUCUCUCAUUGCCUGGAAGACGAAGAAACAGAUUGCAGUUUCCCGUUCGAGUGCCGAGGCUGAGUUGCGAGCCAUGGCUCUUUUGACGGCAGAGUACAGGUGCUAUUAG